CAUUUCAGGUGCCGGCCCCCAAGCACCCCUGCAACCACUACAACCCAGCGGCAGCUUUUGGGGCCCGCGGGCAGGGAGGGCGGCGGAGCGGGUGGCGGCCCCUGCAGGCGGCGGCGGAGUCGGAGCCCCGGCGGUGUCAGUGCCACGGUGUCGGCGGCCGCCGAGCGAGAAAGGCAGCGAGGAGCCUGGCCCCGUCCCCGCGGCCGGGCCGCCGCAUGCAGCCCUCACCCUGGAGCGGCGGCGGCGGAUCGAGGAGCUGUCGCGGGCGUCCCGGCAGCGGCUGCUGCAGUCUCGGGACAGGAUGUUCUCCAAGUUCACCUCCAUCCUGCAGCACGCCGUGGAGGCGCUUGCACCAUCCCUUCCAUUACAAGAAGAUUUUGUUUACCACUGGAAGGCAAUCACCCAUUACUACAUAGAGACGUCAGAUGACAAAGCUCCUGUGACUGAUACCAACAUUCCUUCUCAUCUGGAUCAGAUGUUGGAUAUUCUAGUUCAAGAAGAAAAUGAAAGGGAAUCAGGUGAAACGGGGCCGUGUAUGGAGUAUUUGCUACAUCACAAGAUUCUGGAGACACUCUACACAUUGGGAAAAGCUGAUUGCCCUCCAGGAAUGAAACAGCAAGUUUUGGCUUUUUAUACAAAACUGCUUGGAAGAAUACAACAACCUCUUCUUCCCCACAUAAAUGUGCAUAGGCCAGUGCAGAAAUUAAUCAGGCUGUGUGGCGAAGUUCUGGCAACACCAACAGAAAAUGAAGAAAUUCAGUUUCUCUGUAUAGUAUGUGCAAAGCUGAAACAGGAUCCAUACCUGGUCAACUUUUUCCUUGAGAAUAAGUUAAAAGCAUUGGCUUCCAAAGAAUCAACAAACAUAAUCACAGAAGACAUGCUAAAAGGCCAAGAGUCUUUGGCGACAGACACAGGACAGCCCAUUCAGCCUGAAGAAAUACCUGGUGCUGCUGGAGCAGAGCAAAUGGAGAAGGAAGAUGACCUCCCCCACCAGGGAGAUGAUCUGUCUUUCAGUCUGGAUGAACUAAAUGUCGCAUCAUCACCUGAGUCCUCCACUGUCGGUCCAAAUCAAGACUAUAAUUUAGUGAAUUCUCUACUAAAUCUCACUAAAAGUCCGGAUGGCCGGAUAGCCGUGAAGGCCUGUGAAGGGCUCAUGCUUUUGGUGAGUUUGCCAGAACCAGCAGCUGCCAAGUGCCUGACUCAAAGCACUUCUUUAUGUGAACUGUUGACAGACAGGCUGGCCACCCUCUACAAAGCCCUGCCUCAGUCGCUGGAUCCCUUAGACAUUGAAACAGUGGAGGCAAUUAACUGGGGCUUGGAUUCCUAUAGCCACAAAGAAGAUGCAUCUGCUUUUCCAGGGAAAAGAGCGUUGAUUUCAUUUCUUUCAUGGUUUGACUACUGUGAUCAACUCAUCAAAGAAGCACAAAAGACUGCUGCUGUUGCUAUGGCAAAAGCUGUGCGGGAACGAUUUUUCGUUGAUGUUAUGGAACCCCAGCUGAUGCAAACCUCAGAGAUUGGAAUCCUCACAUCAACUGCACUAUUGCACCGCAUUGUUCGUCAAGUAACUUCGGAUGUCCUGCUGCAGGAAGUAGUUUAUUUUAUACUAGGAGAACACAGAGAGCCAGAAACUUCAACAGACAUCAACAGACAUCCAUUGCGACACAGGUUAAUUGAACACUGUGAUCACAUUUCUGAUGAGAUCAGCAUAAUGACUCUACGAAUGUUUGAGCACCUUUUGCAAAAACCCAACGAGCACAUUCUUUAUAAUUUGGUUCUGAGAAAUUUAGAAGAAAGGAAUUAUAUAGAAUAUAAGCCACUGUGUCAAGAAGAUAAAGAUGUGGUAGAGAAUGGACAGAUUGCAGCUGUAUCCAUAAUAAGCAUAUCUAAAGUGAUGCACAAAUUAUUACAUUACCAGUUGUUGGAUCAGUAA
This 1930-nucleotide long non-coding RNA is filed under the name Anas zonorhyncha (Eastern spot-billed duck). Its description in RNAcentral is "lncRNA (ENSAZOG00000008370.1)". Lineage: Eukaryota; Metazoa; Chordata; Aves; Anseriformes; Anatidae. The record is from RNAcentral.